RNAcentral lists this ribosomal RNA (363 nucleotides) under Achthosus westwoodi. RNAcentral describes it as "partial 12S ribosomal RNA". Lineage: Eukaryota; Metazoa; Arthropoda; Insecta; Coleoptera; Tenebrionidae. The record is from RNAcentral.
GAUACCCUAUUAUUUUAAAUGUGAUUUUUUUACCUGGAUUAUUAUUAGUUAUGGUCUUUAAAAUUAAAAAAUUUGGCGGUAUUUUAGUCUGUUCAGAGGAACCUGUUUCUUAAUUGAUGGUCCACGAUGAUUUUUACUUUAACUUUAAGUUUGUAUAUCGUCGUUUAUAAAAAUUUUAGUAGAAUGUUAAUUUUUUUGUUGUGGGAUUUUUAAUUUAUUUCAGAUCAAGGUGUAGUUUAUGUUGAAGUUGGGAUGGGUUACAUUGUAAUUAUAGUUGGAAUUUUAAUUUAAAAUUUUAAUGAAAUUGGAUUUGAUAGUAAAUUCUUUGUUUUUGGGAUUUGAUUUAGCUCUAAAAUAUGUACA